Ictalurus punctatus (channel catfish) is the source of this 711-nucleotide long non-coding RNA. NCBI's taxonomy places the organism in Eukaryota, Metazoa, Chordata, Actinopteri, Siluriformes, Ictaluridae. The record is from Ensembl.
GCAAGCUAGUGCUACUAUUAUAGCUCUGCUACUAUUGGUGUGAGUGUGUGUGUGUGAAUGGGUGAAUGAGAAACAGUGUAAAGCGGUUUGGAGCAAAUAAGGUUAAAAAAGCGCUAUAUAAGUGCAGACUAUUUACCAUUUAUUGAGUUGAAAAGGGCUCCAGUCGCUGUGGUGGUUUUUCCCAUAGCUUUAUCGGAAAAAAGGCUCCUGCCACCAUGAUGGUGUUCCAUUGGCUUUAUAGUAAUAACUGCAUUAGAAACCUACUCCCCUUUCUCCCAGCUGAUACUAGUGAAACGACUCAACCCCAGGAAGGUUGGAGAAGCCGCCUUUGAACCUCCCACAACUGUGAUAGCCCUCGCUCGCACAGCCGUACUCAUUGACUCUCAACCCCGGUGGAUUCACACCAGUAGACUGAAACAGUGCCUGACCAGAACCAGCUCAUCUGAGAAUGGAUGAAAAUUCACAAUCAAGCAGCCCUUAGGGGGCCUCCUCUUGUCUCACCUAAGCACAUACACAUAUAGAUUUUCUUGUAUUAGCCUUGAGAACACACACAAGUAACAAGCAACAACUCAUGCCCUGUCUGAUGGGAGCAUGUGAGGGGUGGGAGCUGUUGAAGCUCAUGGAUCCCUCAUGGGCGUUCCUUGCUGUUUAUGGGAAGAGUGUAUGUAGGUCCAGUUGGGACCUAAGAAGGCAUUGAUAAGUUUACUGUGA